UAAUACGGAGGGUGCAAGCGUUAAUCGGAAUUACUGGGCGUAAAGGGUGUGUAGGUGGUUGUUUAAGUUAGCUGUGAAAGACCUGGGCUCAACCUGGGGGUGUCAGCUAAAACUGAAUGACUCGAGUAUGGGAGAGGGUAGUGGAAUUUCCGGUGUAGCGGUGAAAUGCGUAGAGAUCGGAAGGAACACCAGUGGCGAAGGCGGCUACCUGGCCUAAUACUGACACUGAGGCACGAAAGCGUGGGGAGCAAACAGG
RNAcentral lists this ribosomal RNA (256 nucleotides) under uncultured bacterium. RNAcentral's name for it is "partial 16S ribosomal RNA". It matches the Rfam family "Bacterial small subunit ribosomal RNA", at positions 521 to 776 of the family's 1533-position model. The record is from RNAcentral.